Molecule: ribosomal RNA, 239 nt
Filed under: uncultured bacterium
Lineage: Bacteria
Description: partial 16S ribosomal RNA
Rfam family: Bacterial small subunit ribosomal RNA
Source: RNAcentral
CCGGCGCACGGGUGCGUAACGCGUAUAGAACCUACCUUUUACAGGAGAAUACCCCAGAGAAAUUUGGAAUAAUGCUCCAUGGUAUUAUUAGAUGGCAUCAUUUAGUAAUUAAACAUUUAUGGGUAAAAGAUGGCUAUGCGUUCUAUUAGCUAGAUGGUAAGGUAACGGCUUACCAUGGCAACGAUAGAUGGGGGUCCUGAGAGGGAGAUCCCCCACACUGGUACUGAGACACGGACCAG